RNAcentral lists this unclassified non-coding RNA (506 nucleotides) under Athalia rosae (coleseed sawfly). RNAcentral's name for it is "misc RNA ENSAEAG00005009376.1". Lineage: Eukaryota; Metazoa; Arthropoda; Insecta; Hymenoptera; Athaliidae. The record is from RNAcentral.
UUCCAAGUACAUAGACCUACGGGAAGUUAGCAGAUCAUUUUCACUUCCAGCGGAUCACUUCCCCCUGACCUAAAUCCAUGAAACUAUUCUCGAAACGUAUCUAGAACAGUGGAACUCGGUGGCUUGCGCAAAGAACUCCUUGUAUAUUUCUUGAUCUGCCAAGAAUUGAUACGCUAACUUCACGAACGCAAUGUCGGGCGCCUACCUACCUCUUCCGGAUCGAGCCCGAUGAUCCUCAGAUCCGAAUACAACAUGGUCGUGUCCCGAUACUCCGAAUACGAACAGUAGUCAGCCUUGGCUAUACUCGUCCCUGUACAUCGAGGCCCUGUACGCCUGCGGCCUGUUACCCCUGUCGACGUUGGAGAGGGCGCACCUACCCCGCGUAUCUCCGAUCCGCAAGUCUUCCGCGGUACGAUAACGGGCGGACCUGCAAUUUCUUCCUACGUUCGGAUAACGAUUAAACGGAGGUGCAGCCGAAUCGAAUCAAACGAAAUUAAUUCCGAAAA